Hypomesus transpacificus is the source of this 664-nucleotide long non-coding RNA. RefSeq lists it as uncharacterized. Lineage: Eukaryota; Metazoa; Chordata; Actinopteri; Osmeriformes; Osmeridae. The record is from RefSeq and is a predicted model, not a curated record. The transcript is spliced from 3 exons.
UCCUUAUCUCAGCACCCCAGGCAUGGCCCCCUGGGAAGUAUGCGGAGCAGUGGGCAGAGACCAGAAGAGCAUUGGCUGAGCAGAGGAACCCAGUCGGACUGCAGGACAGUGUGUCAAAGUCAAGGGGGUCCAAAUCGAUGUGCAAAACACUCCCCCGAAGACAAAGCCCUUUUGUAAAGCCACCAAGCCCCCCUCCCUGAACCCUGGAGCGAUGCUAACAGCCAUCCGGUCAGCCAUGGAUGGACACACCUGCUUCAAUCAACACCAAGGUAGAGACUGAGGUUAACAGCAAGUCAGUUCAUAUCACACUCGAGUCACACUCCUUAUCCACUUUGGUUACUUGUAAAAUUGUAAUCACCUAAGAAUUUGACUUCCUUUACCAUUGAAUGCACUGUCCACUGUAUUUGAGUGCCUGAGGAUAAUUCUUUGUAUGGCCUAAAAUAUUGAGUCUGCUGCUUUUGAUCAUUUUAUUGUCAAGUAUCCUAACAUUUCGAAUGUCAAAAACAAGACAAUGUUAACUGUAGUAAGCACAAGACAGCCCUGCCCCUGCGAAACAGCAGCAAUCCAUACAAAUUUUAAUUAAAGUGUAAUCAGCCCUGAUUAUAUGUUGUUAUGACUUUGUUAAAUUGUGUCUCCCUUAAUUAUAUUCAAUAAUGAAUUGAUG